UGGGGAAUUUUGGACAAUGGGGGAAACCCUGAUCCAGCCAUCCCGCGUGUGCGAUGAAGGCCUUCGGGUUGUAAAGCACUUUUGGCAGGAAAGAAACGUCGCGGGUUAAUACCCCGCGAAACUGACGGUACCUGCAGAAUAAGCACCGGCUAACUACGUGCCAGCAGCCGCGGUAAUACGUAGGGUGCAAGCGUUAAUCGGAAUUACUGGGCGUAAAGCGUGCGCAGGCGGUUCGGAAAGAAAGAUGUGAAAUCCCAGAGCUUAACUUUGGAACUGCAUUUUUAACUACCGGGCUAGAGUGUGUCAGAGGGAGGUGGAAUUCCGCGUGUAGCAGUGAAAUGCGUAGAUAUGCGGAGGAACACCGAUGGCGAAGGCAGCCUCCUGGGAUAACACUGACGCUCAUGCACGAAAGCGAGGGGAGCAAACAGGAUUAGAUACCCUGGUAGUCCACGCCCUAAACGAUGUCAACUAGCUGUUGGGGCCUUCGGGCCUUGGUAGCGCAGCUAACGCGUGAAGUUGACCGCCUGGGGAGUAC
Molecule: ribosomal RNA, 535 nt
Filed under: uncultured bacterium
Lineage: Bacteria
Description: partial 16S ribosomal RNA
Rfam family: Bacterial small subunit ribosomal RNA
Source: RNAcentral